CAGCAGCCACGGUAAUACGAAGGGGGCUAGCGUUGCUCGGAAUGACUGGGCGUAAAGGGCGCGUAGGCGGUUCGUACAGUUGGAUGUGAAAUUCCUGAGCUUAACCUGGGGGCUGCAUUCAAUACGUGCGGGCUUGAGUGUGGAAGAGGGUUGUGGAAUUCCCAGUGUAGAGGUGAAAUUCGUAGAUAUUGGGAAGAACACCGGUGGCGAAGGCGGCAACCUGGUCCAUAACUGACGCUGAGGCGCGAAAGCGUGGGGAGCAAACAGGAUUAGAUACCCGCGUAGUCCCUGUCUCUUAUAC
Molecule: ribosomal RNA, 301 nt
Filed under: uncultured bacterium
Lineage: Bacteria
Description: partial 16S ribosomal RNA
Rfam family: Bacterial small subunit ribosomal RNA
Source: RNAcentral